GAACGCGAAGAACCUUACCAGGGUUUGACAUGCAAGUGGUAGGAAACUGAAAAGGGACCGACCCUUCGGGGAGCUUGCACAGGUGCUGCAUGGCUGUCGUCAGCUCGUGUCGUGAGAUGUUCGGUUAAGUCCGCUAACGAGCGCAACCCUCACUGUGUGUUACAUGUGUCACACGGGACUGCCGGUUUUAAGCCGGAGGAAGGUGGGGAUGACGUCAAGUCAGCAUGGCCUUUAUAUCCUGGGCUACACACACGCUACAAUGGUCGGUACAAUAGGUUGCCAAGCCGCGAGGCGGAGCCAAUCCAUAAAGCCGACCUCAGUUCAGAUUGUAGGCUGCAACUCGCCUGCAUGAAGAUGGAGUUGCUAGUAACCGCAGGUCAGCGAUACUGCGGUGAAUACGUUCCCGGGUCUUGUACACACCG
Molecule: ribosomal RNA, 422 nt
Filed under: uncultured bacterium
Lineage: Bacteria
Description: bacterial SSU rRNA
Rfam family: Bacterial small subunit ribosomal RNA
Source: RNAcentral